CUACGUGCCAGCAGCCGCGGUAAUACGGAAGGUCCAGGCGUUAUCCGGAUUUAUUGGGUUUAAAGGGAGUGUAGGCGGUUUGUUAAGCGUGUUGUGAAAUUUAGGUGCUCAACAUUUAACUUGCAGCGCGAACUGUCAGACUUGAGUACACGCAACGUAUGCGGAAUUCAUGGUGUAGCGGUGAAAUGCUUAGAUAUCAUGAAGAACUCCGAUUGCGAAGGCAGCUGACGGGAGCGCAACUGACGCUUAAGCUCGAAGGUGCGGGUAUCGAACAGGAUUAGAUACCCUGGUAGUCCGCACAGUAAACGAUGGAUGCCCGCUGUUGGUACCUGGUAUCAGCGGCUAAGCGAAAGCAUUAAGCAUCCCACCUGGGGAGUACGCCGGCAACGGUGAAACUCAAAGGAAUUGACGGGGGCCCGCACAAGCGGAGGAACAUGUGGUUUAAUUCGAUGAUACGCGAGGAACCUUACCCGGGCUUGAA
This 481-nucleotide ribosomal RNA is filed under the name uncultured bacterium. RNAcentral describes it as "bacterial SSU rRNA". It matches the Rfam family "Bacterial small subunit ribosomal RNA", at positions 501 to 985 of the family's 1533-position model. The record is from RNAcentral.